This 433-nucleotide ribosomal RNA is filed under the name uncultured bacterium. RNAcentral's name for it is "partial 16S ribosomal RNA". It matches the Rfam family "Bacterial small subunit ribosomal RNA", at positions 29 to 507 of the family's 1533-position model. The record is from RNAcentral.
AACGAACGCUGGCGGCAUGCCUAACACAUGCCAGUCGAACGAGACCUUCGGGUCUAGUGGCGCACGGGUGCGUAACGCGUGGGAACCUGCCCUUAGGUUCGGAAUAACUCCCCGAAAGGGGUGCUAAUACCGGAUAAUGUCUUCGGACCAAAGAUUUAUCGCCUUUGGAUGGGCCCGCGUUGGAUUAGCUAGUUGGUAGGGUAAAAGCCUACCAAGGCGACGAUCCAUAGCUGGUCUGAGAGGAUGAUCAGCCACACUGGGACUGAGACACGGCCCAGACUCCUACGGGAGGCAGCAGUGGGGAAUAUUGGACAAUGGGCGAAAGCCUGAUCCAGCAAUGCCGCGUGAGUGAUGAAGGCCUUAGGGUUGUAAAGCUCUUUUACCCGGGAUGACAAUGACAGUACCGGGAGAAUAAGCUCCGGCUAACUCCGUG